This 495-nucleotide ribosomal RNA is filed under the name uncultured bacterium. Its description in RNAcentral is "partial 16S ribosomal RNA". It matches the Rfam family "Bacterial small subunit ribosomal RNA", at positions 28 to 507 of the family's 1533-position model. The record is from RNAcentral.
GACGAACGCUGGCGGCGUGCCUAAUACAUGCAAGUAGAACGCUGAAGGAGGAGCUUGCUUCUCUGGAUGAGUUGCGAACGGGUGAGUAACGCGUAGGUAACCUGCCUGGUAGCGGGGGAUAACUAUUGGAAACGAUAGCUAAUACCGCAUAAGAGUAGAUGUUGCAUGACAUUUGCUUAAAAGGUGCAAUUGCAUCACUACCAGAUGGACCUGCGUUGUAUUAGCUAGUUGGUGGGGUAACGGCUCACCAAGGCGACGAUACAUAGCCGACCUGAGAGGGUGAUCGGCCACACUGGGACUGAGACACGGCCCAGACUCCUACGGGAGGAAGCAGUAGGGAAUCUUCGGCAAUGGACGGAAGUCUGACCGAGCAACGCCGCGUGAGUGAAGAAGGUUGUCGGAUCGUAAAGCUCUGUUGUAAGAGAAGAACGAGUGUGAGAGUGGAAAGUUCACACUGUGACGGUAUCUGACCAGAAAGGGACGGCUAACUACGUG